Molecule: ribosomal RNA, 400 nt
Filed under: uncultured bacterium
Lineage: Bacteria
Description: bacterial SSU rRNA
Rfam family: Bacterial small subunit ribosomal RNA
Source: RNAcentral
UGGGGAAUCUUCCGCAAUGGACGAAAGUCUGACGGAGCAACGCCGCGUGAACGAUGAAGGUCUUCGGAUUGUAAAGUUCUGUUUUUAGGGAAGAAUGUGCUUGGGGUGAACAAUCUCGAGUAAUGACGUUACCUAAAGAGGAAGUCACGGCUAACUACGUGCCAGCAGCCGCGGUAAUACGUAGGUGGCGAGCGUUGUCCGGAAUUAUUGGGCGUAAAGCGCAUGUAGGCGGGAAUAUAAGUCUGUUGUGAAAAUGCGGGGCUCAACCCCGUAUUGCAAUGGAAACUGUAUUUCUUGAGUGCAGGAGAGGAAAGGGGAAUUCCCAGUGUAGCGGUGAAAUGCGUAGAUAUUGGGAGGAACACCAGUGGCGAAGGCGCCUUUCUGGACUGUGUCUGACGCU